AUCCAGACAGAGGUAAUAAUCAGGUUAUUGAUCCAGACAGAGGUAAUAAUCAGGUUAUUGAUCCAGACAGAGGUAAUAAUCAGGUUAUUGAUCCAGACGGAGGAGAGGUAAUAAUCAGGUUAUUGAUCCAGACGGAGGUAAUAAUCAGGUUAUUGAUCCAGACGGAGGAGAGGUAAUAAU
Molecule: long non-coding RNA, 180 nt
Organism: Micropterus dolomieu (smallmouth bass)
Lineage: Eukaryota; Metazoa; Chordata; Actinopteri; Centrarchiformes; Centrarchidae
Exons: 2
Source: RefSeq, a predicted model, not a curated record